UACAGAGGUCCCAAGCGUUGUUCGGAUUCAUUGGGCGUAAAGGGUGCGUAGGCGGCGCGGUAAGUCGGGUGUGAAAUCUCGGAGCUUAACUCCGAAACUGCAUUCGAUACUGCCGUGCUUGAGGACUGGAGAGGAGACUGGAAUUUACGGUGUAGCGGUGAAAUGCGUAGAUAUCGUAAGGAAGACCAGUGGCGAAGGCGGGUCUCUGGACAGUUCCUGACGCUGAGGCACGAAGGCCAUGGGAGCAAACGGG
RNAcentral lists this ribosomal RNA (253 nucleotides) under uncultured bacterium. Its description in RNAcentral is "partial 16S ribosomal RNA". It matches the Rfam family "Bacterial small subunit ribosomal RNA", at positions 524 to 776 of the family's 1533-position model. The record is from RNAcentral.